RNAcentral lists this ribosomal RNA (468 nucleotides) under uncultured bacterium. RNAcentral's name for it is "partial 16S ribosomal RNA". It matches the Rfam family "Bacterial small subunit ribosomal RNA", at positions 28 to 507 of the family's 1533-position model. The record is from RNAcentral.
GACGAACGCUGGCGGCGUGCUUAACACAUGCAAGUCGAACGGAAAGGCCCUGCUUUUUUGGGGUGCUCGAGUGGCGAACGGGUGAGUAACACGUGAGUAACCUGCCCUUGACUUUGGGAUAACUUCAGGAAACUGGAGUUACUAUCGUAUAGGAGCCGCUGCACCAUUGUGGGGGUUGGAACGUUUAGGCGGUUGGGGAUGGAUUCGCGGCUUAUCAGCUUGUUGGUGGGGUAGUGGCUUACCAAGGCUUUGACUGGUAGCCGGCAUGAGAGGGUGACCGGGCACAUUGGGACUGAGAUACGGACCAGACUGCUACGGUGGGCAGCAGGGGGGAAUAUGGCACAAUGGGCGGAAGCCUGAUGCAGCAACGCCGCGUGCGGGAUGACGGCCUUCGGGUUGUAAAACGCUUUAGCCUGUGACGAAGCGUGAGUGACGGUAAUGAGUAAAGAAGCACCGGCUAACUACGUG